RNAcentral lists this ribosomal RNA (428 nucleotides) under uncultured bacterium. RNAcentral's name for it is "partial 16S ribosomal RNA". It matches the Rfam family "Bacterial small subunit ribosomal RNA", at positions 354 to 796 of the family's 1533-position model. The record is from RNAcentral.
GUGGGGAAUAUUGGGCAAUGGGGGAAACCCUGACCCAGCAACGCCGCGUGAAGGAAGAAGGCUUUCGGGUUGUAAACUUCUUUGACCAGGGACGAAACAAAUGACGGUACCUGGAAAACAAGCCACGGCUAACUACGUGCCAGCAGCCGCGGUAAUACGUAGGUGGCAAGCGUUGUCCGGAUUUACUGGGUGUAAAGGGCGCGUAGGCGGGAUGGCAAGUCAGAUGUGAAAUGCCGGGGCUUAACCUCGGCACUGCAUUUGAAACUGCUGUUCUUGAGUAUCGGAGAGGCAGGCGGAAUUCCUAGUGUAGCGGUGAAAUGCGUAGAUAUUAGGAGGAACACCAGUGGCGAAGGCGGCCUGCUGGACGACAACUGACGCUGAGGCGCGAAAGUGUGGGGAGCAAACAGGAUUAGAUACCCGAGUAGUCC